RNAcentral lists this ribosomal RNA (253 nucleotides) under uncultured bacterium. Its description in RNAcentral is "partial 16S ribosomal RNA". It matches the Rfam family "Bacterial small subunit ribosomal RNA", at positions 524 to 776 of the family's 1533-position model. The record is from RNAcentral.
UACGUAGGGGGCUAGCGUUGUCCGGAAUCAUUGGGCGUAAAGCGCGUGUAGGCGGUCCGGUAAGUCCGCUGUGAAAGUCAAGGGCUCAACCCUUGAAUGCCGGCCGAUACUGCCGGGCUAGAGUCCGGAAGAGGUGAGUGGAAUUCCUGGUGUAGCGGUGAAAUGCGUAGAUAUAGGAAGGAACACCAGUGGCGAAGGCGACCACCUGGACUGAUACUGACACUGAGGUGCGAAAGCGUGGGGAGCAAACAGG